RNAcentral lists this long non-coding RNA (664 nucleotides) under Danio rerio (zebrafish). RNAcentral describes it as "lncRNA im:7154473 (ENSDARG00000097825.3)". The record is from RNAcentral. Lineage: Eukaryota; Metazoa; Chordata; Actinopteri; Cypriniformes; Danionidae.
UAUUUCUGGAUCUCAUUAAAUCUCCAGCAUUCACAGAUUGAGAACCACGCAUACGUUCAAGAGUCAUAAAUCAGCAGCAUAAUAAUUCCCCAACAUGCACUAAAGACUGAGGCUUGGAGGAUUCAUCGCACAACAAAGGACCUCAGACUGCUGCUCAAAGACCAGCUGUAUUUGUGUCCUGGAACAAGACAGUUCCACUUGUAAGAGCACCGUGUGAAGAUUUGAUUAGUGGAGUAAUAGCACAGUUUUGCUUAAAAUAUUCCAACACACAGCAUUAUGGGUGACACAUCAGAGUUCACAAGAGGACAAAUUGUUGGUGCACGUCUCUCUGGUGCAUCUGUGACCAAGGCAGCAGAUCUUUGUGGUGUAUCAAGAGCCACAGUAUCCAGAGUAACAUCAGCAUACAUCCAAGAAGGACGAACCACAUCCAACAGGAAUAACUGUGGAAGUAAGAGGAAGCUGUCUGAAAGGGAUGUCCGCGUGCUAACCCGGAUUGUAUCUAAAAACCAUGUAACCACAGCUGCCCAAUUCACAGCAGAGUUAAAUGUGCACCUCAAAUCUCCGGUUUCCACCAAAACUGUUCGGCGGGAGCUCCACAGGGUCAAUAUAUAUGGGCAGUUUCCUAUAGCCAAACCUUUGGUUGACUCAUGCGAAUGCCAACCGU